UUACUCGUUAGCCUGUAAGACAAAUUUAAGGGCUCACAACACCCGGCAUGUUAUUAAAGUAGUCGGCUCUGUUGCUGCUUGCUUUCUGUUCUGGUUUCAGUAAAAAAACUCUGUUAGAUUUCAUUAACAGUAGUUUUAUAUUACAAAUAGGCUAACUUUAAAUGGACAUACGUCGAUUUGCCUUACUUUACCCUCAAAGCUCACCUGCUGGUCGGUUUCUGAGGCACGUUCGCGGGCCACCGCCGUCUCCCGGUCCUCAAGUACCCGAUGUAACAGAGCCCAACACUGGCCUAGAGUGGUUUGAAAUGACCGCGUCAAGUUCAGACCGUGAAGUCCCCAGGUCGCCUCUGGUGUUAGCUAACAUCCAGAGCUCCCCUCUCUACAACUUUGCAGUCCCAUCCACCCCAGUGCAGGAUGAACUGACGUUUCCUCUCAGCCUGAAGGAGGAGUCCUGGAGACCAGACAGCAACAGUACGGUAUCACCAGUGCAAACUGUGCCUACCUUUGGAGAGCAAGAGCCUUUUUGGGAAAGACAUCACUCUUUUAAAAGUGGACCUAAAGCCAGCCGAGAAAUGACAAAGAGAAAACGGAGUAGAGGAGCGAAAGACAGCGUCUUGAAAUUGCAAAGUAAAGACACAAACUGAGCCUAGAAGCUUGAAAGCUGUAAGUCACAUUUCGUUCAUUUGCUUAGGCCUAUGUCUUUUAACCAGCAUCAAUGCAGACUGUUUGUAAAAUGUAUUCGUACUCCAUCAGUAAGUCCUUAAAUAUAUGUUUAUGUGUUCGUAUUUAUUUACAUCUUCACUAUGUUUUGUGAAUGACUUUGCAUCACUGUUUUUGUUAGAUGUAUAUUAAUAAUCACUAUUAUUUUGUCAGUUAUUUAAUACAAUGAGGUACUUCUUAAUAAGACCCUGUAGGUGUCACUGUUAUACUUGUUAUCUGGCACUGGGGAGCCGCUGUAGCUGCUAUUGUUUGUGUAAGUUGGAGAAGAAAUUGAUAUCAUUGUUAGGCAGACCGAGGCGCUGCAUUUUGGCAAAGGGACAACGUACAUUUCACAGAUCAAAUAAAUGUGAUUUAAAGAUGAA
Molecule: long non-coding RNA, 1082 nt
Organism: Sander lucioperca (pikeperch)
Lineage: Eukaryota; Metazoa; Chordata; Actinopteri; Perciformes; Percidae
Exons: 2
Source: RefSeq, a predicted model, not a curated record